CCCUUGUAUAUUAACAAUAUAUGUUUUGUAAUUCUAUUUUUAUUGUCAUCUUAUUAUCUUCUCAGACCACUCCACUAAAGGUAAGGAGCACAAAUACUAUUAAAAUCAAAAGUACUGCAACCACUCCACUAAUAAAGGUAAAGAGCACAAAUACUAUUAAAUCAAAAGGACACACUGAAAAGCAACUAAAGCGAUAAAUAUUGAUUUCUUAGUUUGAACUUUAACUACUUUUCAUUGAAUGGGCGAGAAUCAUUGAAUAAAGAAGAAGAAGAAGAAGAAGAAGAAGAAGAAGAAGAAGACAAGGUAGAAACACAAUAAUGAGUUGGUGCUUUCUCAGAAGCUAAACUACUUUCACUCUUUUCUCAUACAACUCUCCAAGUCCUAAUUUCUCUGUUCCGGAAUAAAAAUUCUUUGCAAUCUCCAUUGAAGAAUUUGUGUUCACCACAACGAGUUCCUCAUCCUUAUUCCUCUCUAUAUAUACUCUCACCAAUAGUAAAUCAAUUUGACCAAAGAAAUUCGAGUUUGGAAUUGUUGCGAUGGCAGAAGCAGUGGUGUCGACUGCUCUAGAAACCCUGCGCGAUUUGUUGUUGGAAGAGGCAAAGUUUUUAUAUGGUGUGGGCGAUGAAGUGAAGGAGAUCGAGUGGCAGCUCAAAGAGAUGAAGUGUCUCCUCAAAGAUGCCGAUAGAAGACGACAUGAAAGCGAAAUCAUUUUGAAUUGGAUCUCGGAGAUCAAAGAUCUUGUGUACAGAGCGGAAGCUGCCAUUGAAAGACACGCAGCUUAUCAAGUGUUGUCAAGGAGAAGACGAGGUCUCAGACAGCUCGUCCGCAAAUGUACUUGUAGUUUGGAAGAAUACAAGUCGAUCCACCAAUUAGGCUCGGAGAUUUCACCGAUCAAAUCCCGACUUGAAUGGAUAAACAAGGAAAUGUUAGAAAGUGGCAUAAAGAAGAGCAUCAUCAACAAUACAGAUGAAGGGGAAAGCUCGUCCGCCAACAACAGGGCAAGGAAGAGUUUCCCCGAAUUCGAGAUCGGAGACUGUUUUGUGGGGAUGAAGGAUGAGCUCCAGCAGCUUCUUCAUCUCCUAGUGGAAGACGAAAAGCAUCGAGUAAUUUCAGUGUGGGGAAUGGGGGGAUCAGGCAAGACCACCAUUGCCAAAAAGCUCUACAACGAGACCAACACCAGCUUUGAUCUUUGCGCAUGGGUUUGCAUUAGUCAGCAAUGUCAGAGUUUUCAAUCAGUUUGGAAUGAUGUUCUCAUGCAGCUACAGCAUCAAAACACCAAGGAUGGGCCAAAAAUAAGGGAGGAUGUUACAAGUUUGAGCGAGUGGGAGUUGAAGGAGCGACUAUGCAAGAUACAAAGAGAGAAGCGAUGCCUCAUUGUUUUUGACGAUCUUUGGGACACUUCUCAUUGGGAUGGCUUCAAGCAUCCCUUCCUUGUCCAAGAUUUGCAGAGCAAAAUCUUGAUCACCACGCGCGAACGGGAAGUCGCGGAGAUUGGAUGCCCUGUGAAACUUGAGUUUCUAAAAGAGGAAGAUGCUUUGGAACUACUCAAGAAGAAAGCAUUUCCCCACACCAACAUUCCAGAGUUUGCAUUGGAAGAUAAAUUUAAGAAAAUUGGGAAAGAAAUGGUGCAAAAUUGUGGGUAUUUGCCGUUGGCAAUUUCUUUACUCGGUGGGGUCUUGAGAAUAAAAAAUUCGAUGAAGGAGUGGGAGUUAGUAAAUGAGGAUAUCAAAGAAUUCAUUUAUAGAGGUGAUAGUGAGAUUGAUGGAGUGCUAAAUUUAAGCUAUGAAAGUCUACCCUAUUAUUUGAAGUCUUGCUUUCUCUAUAUGGGUAUAUUUCAAGAGGAUGAAGAUAUAAGUGCUAAAGAUCUGUAUCAGAUGUGGAUAGCACAAGGCAUGAUUUCUAUUGGAGACAAGGACAAAAGUUUGAUGGAAAUUGCAGAGCUCUACUUGGGUGAGUUGGCCUCCAGGUCCAUCGUCCAAGUCGAAAUUUAUGAUGGUGUCACACCGGGAAGAAAAUAUAGGGACUGCAAACUUCAUGAUGUAGUAAGAGAACUAUGUUUGAAAUUGGGGAGAAGUGAGGAUUUUGGUGUGCAGAGUUUGGAGUAUCAAAGUGGGAAAGCUUCCUCGCAUAAGAAAAUACGGCAUUUGGCUAUACAUUUCAGGAAAGAAGUUCAAGUGGAACCAGACGAGCUUACAGUCACUUGGGGAGAAGAUAGUAGCGAACAUUUAAGGUCUCUUCAAAUGUUCAAUCACAUAAAUUUGGGUGUUGUUGAGUUUCCCCCGCAGGGUAUUGUUGAUUUUCAGAAAUUCAAAUUGCUGAGAGAUCUAGUUAUGGUGGGAUUCAAAUUUGAAGGAAGAAAGUUAUCGAAAGUAAUCGCUAGUCUUGUUCACCUUAGACGUUUGUGUUUACAAAGAUGUGAUUUUGAUAUGCUACCAUCGUCCAUAAGGAAUUUGGUAUAUAUGGAUACCCUUGAUUUAAGUCUUUCGAAAAAUGUUGAAGUUCCAAAUGUUUUUAAGGAGAUGGUACGUUUAAAGCACUUGUUUCUUCCCAAUUAUGAUGAGGAAAGUAUUGGAAGUUAUCGAUUGACAUUGGACGAGGGAGUGAUUGAGUUGGAGACCCUGUGUUAUUUGGAUAGUAGAGUGCAUGAUUUAAAAUGUGUGAACGGAAUGAAGAAUCUGCGAACUUUCUCAACAAAAAUAUACGACAACGAAAGCUUGUCAGCCAACAUCGACGCCAUUGCUCUCAUGGAAAAGUUACUGUUUUGUAGGGUUGAAAUCGAAAAGGGUUGCGAGUUAGGAACAAAUAAGGGAGUGUUAACGCUGAAGAAGGUAAUCACAUGUCCCAAUCUUCAUUCCUUGUGGAUUCUUGUUAAGUUAGGGAAGGCGCUGGCAGAGUGCGGGAGUGACUUCAUCAGUUCAAAACUUAUAACUUUGGUCAUGUUAGAAUGUGAGAUUGAGGAUGAUCCAAUGGGGAUACUGGGGAACCUUCCUUGCUUGAUAUAUUUGUAUUUAUGGACGAAAUCAUUUGUGGGGGAGGAGAUGACGUGUCCAUCAAACAGUUUUCCUCGCCUCAAGAAUCUUAUGCUAUGGGGGUUACCAAAGUUGAGGGAGCUAGUGGAGAGUGGAGGCAGGAGCCAUGCCCCUUCUCUAUGAAUUGAAGAUCUAUGAUUGUUCCAGUCUGAAGAUGCUUCCAGAUGGUUUGAGUGGCAUUUCUACUCUUCGGAAACUGGAGAUUACUAGAAUGCCGGAAAUGGUGAAGAGGGUAUCGGCAUCAGGAGAGGAUUUCCACAAAGUCAGCCAUGUCCCUUCAAUUAUCAUCCGAGACUAUUGAUGAUGACUAACUAAUCCAGUCUCCACCCGGGGUACUUUUCUCCCCCCCUUGGAGCUACAGUCUUGUUGUUCCAUGUCCCAAGUGUUUCUCUUUAAUUAUUUGCAUUCUUUUCUCUGCAACCUUGUCUCGCUUUAAUCACUUUCUUUCAAAUAAAUGUGUAUAUUUCUUUUGUACAUGGGCGUGGUGGCCAUAUAUAUUCCAUUCCUUGUAUUAUUAAUCUGGACAAUUUAUUCUAGACUUGCUUAGUUUCACAUGGAGUUAUUUUGGUAAGAUUCAGCCCAUGAGCCUUUGCUUGUAACUUCUGCAGAUUUAAGCUUUAUUUGUGUUCU
Salvia miltiorrhiza (redroot sage) is the source of this 3659-nucleotide RNA transcript. It is a transcript of the gene named probable disease resistance protein At1g58602, with no coding region annotated. The record is from RefSeq and is a predicted model, not a curated record. NCBI's taxonomy places the organism in Eukaryota, Viridiplantae, Streptophyta, Magnoliopsida, Lamiales, Lamiaceae. The transcript has 3 exons.